RNAcentral lists this long non-coding RNA (563 nucleotides) under Theobroma cacao (cacao). RNAcentral describes it as "long non-coding RNA (TCAC_LNC005905)". The record is from RNAcentral. Lineage: Eukaryota; Viridiplantae; Streptophyta; Magnoliopsida; Malvales; Malvaceae.
UCUUCUUCCCUUCUCCUCUCUCACGUUUCUUCAAACUCCAUGGAAGCUUGAUUUUCAAACUUCCAUAACUUUCUCUCUCUAUCUCCAAUUUUCAUGCUUUUGGUGCACCCUUCCAUAAACCCAUGUGCUAUUUCAUCUUCUCACUUUAAAAACCUUGAAAUAUCUUGUUUUCAUACUUUCUCUCACUAACUGGGCAUUCUAGAGAGAGAAAGAGAGAAUCACUCCAUUGAUUUGGAAGCUAUUGGAAGAGAAUCUAACUACAAAGGAACCCUAGGGUGAGUGAUGCACCAAGUUUAAUUUUUAGCUGCAGAAAAUGGCUAGUAAUUGUGAUUUAUGAGCUGUUUUAUUGUUUAGUAUGUUCAUUACUUUUUAGUGAUUAAAAUAGUGAACAUAGAUAGCCAUUUAAAGUGGCAAUUGAAAACUAGCUAAGAGAUAGCUUUUAGAGUUCAUAGUGUGUAAAUUGAUCUAUUGUUUAUGUUAAUAUGAUCCUAGGUUUUUAAGGAAGCACCAUCAUUCCAAUUGGAUCAUUAAGGGAAUUUGAGUCAACUAAAGGUUCUACAAUC